GGUCAAGUGAAUAAGCGCAUAUGGUGGAUGCCUUGGCGGUAGAAGGCGAUGAAGGACGUAGUAGCCUGCGAUAAGCCUCGGGGAGUCGGCAAACAGACUUUGAUCCGGGGAUUUCCGAAUGGGGAAACCCACCCUUAGGGGUAUCCUGCUUCGGCAGGAGGCGAACCCAGGGAACUGAAACAUCUAAGUACCUGGAGGAAAAGAAAUCAACCGAGAUUUUCUUAGUAGCGGCGAGCGAACGGGAAACAGCCUUGCAAUCUUUAGCAAACGGUCUAGUGGAAUGGUCUGGAAAGUCCAGCGAUACAGGGUGAUAGCCCCGUACACGAAAGGCAGUUUGUGGAACUAAGUUUGCGAUGAGUAGGGCGGGGCACGAGAAACCUUGUCUGAACAUGGGGGGACCACCCUCCAAGGCUAAAUACUCUCUACCGACCGAUAGUGAACCAGUACCGUGAGGGAAAGGCGAAAAGAACCCCGUUGAGGGGAGUGAAAUAGAACCUGAAACCGUAUGCGUACAAGCAGUGGGAGCACGUUUAUCGUGUGACUGCGUACCUUUUGUAUAAUGGGUCAGCGACUUACUUCUCAGUGGCAAGCUUAACCGUUUAGGGGAGGCGUAGGGAAACCGAGUCUUAAUAGGGCGAAUAGUCGCUGGGAGUAGACCCGAAACCGGGCGAUCUAUCCAUGGCCAGGGUGAAGGUGGAGUAACAUCCACUGGAGGCCCGAACCCACUUAUGUUGAAAAAUGAGGGGAUGAGCUGUGGCUAGGAGUGAAAGGCUAAACAAGCCCGGAGAUAGCUGGUUCUCCUCGAAAGCUAUUUAGGUAGCGCCUCGUGUCUCACCUCAGGGGGUAGAGCACUGUUUCGGCUAGGGGGUCAUCCCGACUUACCAAACCGAUGCAAACUCCGAAUACCUGAGAGUGCAAUCACGGGAGACACACGGCGGGUGCUAACGUCCGUCGUGGAAAGGGAAACAACCCAGACCGCCAGUUAAGGUCCCAAAAUCAUAGCUCAGUGGGAAACGAUGUGGGAAGGCAUAGACAUCCAGGAGGUUGGCUUAGAAGCAGCCACCCUUUAAAGAAAGCGUAAUAGCUCACUGGUCGAGUCGGCCUGCGCGGAAGAUUUAACGGGGCUUAAGCUAUGUACCGAAACUGCGGAUGCCUAUUUAUAGGCAUGGUAGAGGAGCGUUCUGUAAGCCGUUGAAGGCAAACUGUAAGGUUUGUUGGAGGUAUCAGAAGUGCGAAUGCUGACAUGAGUAACGAUAAAGGGGGUGAGAGGCCCCCUCGCCGAAAGCCCAAGGUUUCCUGCGCAACGCUAAUCGGCGCAGGGUUAGUCGGCCCCUAAGGCGAGGCAGAAAUGCGUAGUCGAUGGGAAUCAGGCUAAUAUUCCUGAACUGCUCGUAACUGCGACGGAGGGACGGAGAAGGCUAGGCCAGAACACAGUUGGUUUUGUGUAUCCAAGCGUUUAGGCAGAUCUCUUAGGCAAAUCCGGGAGAUCAAUGCUGAGGCGUGAUGGCGACAGUGCUACGGCACUGGAGUGGUUGAUGCCCUGCUUCCAGGAAAAGCUCCUAAGCUUCAGGUUACGAGUAACCGUACUCCAAACCGACACAGGUGGGCAGGAUGAGAAUUCUAAGGCGCUUGAGAGAACUCUGGUGAAGGAACUAGGCAAAAUUGUACCGUAACUUCGGGAGAAGGUACGCCCUCGACGGUGACGAGACUUGCUCUCUGAGCUGUUGGGGGCCGCAGUGAAAAGGUGGCUGCAACUGUUUACUAAAAACACAGCACUCUGCAAACACGAAAGUGGAAGUAUAGGGUGUGACGCCUGCCCGGUGCCGGAAGGUUAAUUGAUGGGGUUAGCUUCGGCGAAGCUCCUGAUCGAAGCCCCGGUAAACGGCGGCCGUAACUAUAACGGUCCUAAGGUAGCGAAAUUCCUUGUCGGGUAAGUUCCGACCUGCACGAAUGGCGUAAUGAUGGCCACACUGUCUCCACCAGAGACUCAGUGAAAUUGAAAUUGCGGUUAAGAUGCCGUAUACCCGCGGCUAGACGGAAAGACCCCGUGCACCUUUACUACAGCUUCACACUGGACUUUGAACCUAUCUGUGUAGGAUAGGUGGGAGGCUUUGAAGCGGUCACGCCAGUGAUCGUGGAGCCAACCUUGAAAUACCACCCUGGUAUGUUUGAAGUUCUAACCCAGGCGUAACAGCGCCGGGGACAGUGUGUGGUGGGUAGUUUGACUGGGGCGGUCUCCUCCCAAAGAGUAACGGAGGAGCACAAUGAUACGCUAAGUACGGUCGGACAUCGUACGGUUAGUGCAAAGGCAUAAGCGUGUUUGACUGCGAGACGGACAUGUCGAGCAGGUGCGAAAGCAGGUCUUAGUGAUCCGGUGGCUCUGAGUGGAAGGGCCAUCGCUCAACGGAUAAAAGGUACGCCGGGGAUAACAGGCUGAUACCGCCCAAGAGUUCAUAUCGACGGCGGUGUUUGGCACCUCGAUGUCGGCUCAUCACAUCCUGGGGCUGAAGUCGGUCCCAAGGGUAUGGCUGUUCGCCAUUUAAAGUGGUACGCGAGCUGGGUUUAGAACGUCGUGAGACAGUUCGGUCCCUAUCUGCCGUGGGCGUUUGAGAAUUGAGGGAAGCUGCUCCUAGUACGAGAGGACCGGAGUGGACGAACCUCUGGUGUUCCGGUUGUCACGCCAGUGGCAUUGCCGGGUAGCUAUGUUCGGACAGGAUAACCGCUGAAAGCAUCUAAGCGGGAAGCCCCUCCCAAGAUUAGUUCUCACUGACUCCUUGAGAGUCCUGUAGGGCCCUGGAAGACUACCAGGUUGAUAGGCUGGGUGUGGACGUGCAGUAAUGCAUGAAGCUAACCAGUACUAAUUGCCCGUGAGGCUUGACCAU
Molecule: ribosomal RNA, 2882 nt
Organism: Thiolapillus brandeum
Lineage: Bacteria; Pseudomonadati; Pseudomonadota; Gammaproteobacteria; Chromatiales; Sedimenticolaceae
Rfam family: Bacterial large subunit ribosomal RNA
Source: Rfam